This 7604-nucleotide long non-coding RNA is filed under the name Vigna radiata. RNAcentral's name for it is "long non-coding RNA (VRAD_LNC005867)". The record is from RNAcentral. Lineage: Eukaryota; Viridiplantae; Streptophyta; Magnoliopsida; Fabales; Fabaceae.
UGUUUUGUUUAUGGUCUCAUGUUGAAACAGUGAGAAGUGAAGGGAUUUCAGGUGUUGGAGGUGCUCAUGGGAGCUUGCAAUGGCUUUCCAUUGGAUUAUGGCCAAAACUAAAACACCAAGAACAUACUUCUGUGAGGAAGCCAUAAUAUGUUGAUUGCUUCUUCUCAUCAGAAUGGAUACAACACUGAUAUCUCGUUUCAUUAUAUACAAGAAAAACAUGUUUUUUCUUUUUGGCACAAAACAAUAUUGAUGUCAAUAGAAUCAAUAUCCAAGUCGUUUGAGGUUGUCAUUUAUAUUGUAUAAUAUCAUUUGAUUUUGGCUGCAAGAUUAUUUAGGUUUCUACAAUUAAUACACAAUCAACGUAGUGGAAGUAAAUAGUGCUCUCCAUUUAGUCUUCAAUCCAAUGUUGUGAAAAUUCUCUUAAUGUAUUUAAUGUUUUAUAUGAUUACUAGCCAACAAUUAAUUUUCUUAUCAAAUCCUUUUUGGAGUUAAUUUUGGUUUCAUGUGGACUUAAAAUUCACUUUUUUAUAUUACAUUAAUCUUUUAGAUAUAUAUCUUUAAUUAAAGGGUUUUUAAUAUAUUUAAUCGAUGCUGAAUGUAAAUCGAUAUGUUACAUAAGAUAUGUAUACAUUAAUGUUAAAAAAGAUUAUAUUGAUCAAAUUGAAUUUUAAUAUUUCCAAAAUUAAAAGAUUUAAAUACAUAUAAUUGAAUAUUAAAAUUGAAUUUUUAUAUAUAAUAAAAAAAUAAUAAAAUGUGUUUUGUUGUAAACAUGACAAUAUUAUUUUAAUCCUCUAAAUUAUAGUUUAUUGGAAAAUUUUAAAAAUAAUAUAUAUCAACAUCACGUGCAUCUAAAUUUUGACAUAUCAUAAAUUACCUCAAAAUAAUUGCAACAGGAAAUGAUCGAAAUAAAUUUUUUUUUAGGAAGACUAAAAUGAUCUUAGUGAAGAGAGUUUGAGUAUUAAUUUAUAUGAAAUCUUAGUAUUAAAAUAAAAUUAGUCAUUAUAUUAAAAGUGGACAUUCUCAAUAUUUUCAGUUUUAUAUCAUUUUGUGCACAUUUCACACACUAUGAUUCGUCCAACUUAGGGAAAAAAAAAAUCCAGUCCAUAGUAGUCUUUUCAUACGUAAUCUUAGUUGCUUUUUAGUAUCUUUUUCUAUAAAUUAUAAUAAAUUAGUUGUUAUGCAUUAACCUGAAUUUUAAAAUAUGUUUUUGUCUUUAAAUUUUAAAUUAUGUUAAAUUUUAUUAACUUCUCAAAUAUGUUUUAUAUUAGUAUUUGACUUAUACUGGUUGAUAUGUUUUUCUUUUAAUAUUAGUUAAAAUAUGUUAAAAUAAAUUAAUAUAACUAAAUGAAAAGAAUUAUGUUUAUUAAUUUUAAAAUUUAAAAAGUAAAAUAUAUCCUAGUUUUAAAAAAAUUGAAUUUUAAUUUUGUGUAAAUUUAAAACUAAAAAUAUAUUUAAUUCUAUAAAUAGUUAUACUCAGUAGUGAUGAAAUUUUGGUGUUAAUAAUAAAAAUUAUCUCUUAUAGAAUACGGAUGUUAUUUCUUAAAAAAGUGGAGUACAUAUAUCAUUUCACUAACUCAUUGGACAUACUUAUUAAAUAAAAAAAAAAACAAAUACACAAUAAAUAUAAAUAAAAAGUUCAGUAUUAAAUAUCACCAUAAAUGACAACUUGGUCAUAACUGGUAAAUUAAAAUAAUCUCAAAUUUAUUGAUUUUUUUCCUGACAUAAUAUGACCAUGAACUGAUAUUGUUGGUGGUAAUUCCUCAGAUCCUAUUUUAUUUGAGGAUAAAAUAACUAAUAAGUUCAAUAACACUUCAUUUUUAUUUUGAAUAUGAAAACCAAAAAUUAUUAGGAACCAAAUAAAAGUUUUCAACUUUUUAGUAGGAAAUUUACAAUUGAGAUAUUAUUAUUAUUAUUAUUAUUAUUAUUAUUAUUAUUAUUAUUAUAUUUAAUUUUCACGACUUGGUGGAUUGAAAUUAUUUAACUAAAUCUGUUCCUAAUUAUUAAUAAUACAUUUGGAAUAAUAGAAUAAUAUAAUAUAUAGACUUGAAAUGAGUGGAAUGUUACUUUAUUGUUUGAACACCUUUUAAUGGAAGGGAAAUAAAAUUUAAAUUUCGUAAUUUGAAAAUUGAUAGAUCAAAUUGAGUUAUUCUUACUUAUCAAAGAUGUUGUUAGUACAAUAUUUCUUUCUUAUAUUAUUAUUCUAUUUUUUUUGAUGCGUAUAGGAUGUUCAUUAUGAAUCUUUGAAGAGAUAUAUCUCUUAUAUUUAUGUUUAAAAUAGAAUCGGUAAAUAUAAAUAGUAAAUUUACAAAAAGUUUUUCUUUUUUGUUACAAGCACUCUAAAUUGAGAAAAAGAAAAUUAGGGUUUAACAAGGGAUCAUAUAUUUUGAUAAAUUAAGUAUAAAUGUGAAUGUGAGAUUCCACAUUAGAUCAAAAUAAAGAAGUUGAAUAUCAUAUAAAAAUAAAGUUUUAUAAAUAUAAUGUAUGAAAAUAUUGUGUUUCAUAUAUAACCAAUUCACACUUUUCAAACAGAUAUACAAUAUGAAUGAAAUUCAGAGGAGGAGAAAAUUUGUAGAGUAGAAAUGUGAAUAUAAAGUUUCACUUUAGAAGAAAUUGAAAAGUUAUAUAUUUUAUAGCAUAUAAUAAAAGGUAAAGUUACUUAGUUAAAUAUAACAAUAAAAGAAUAGGGAUAGAAAAUUGUAUGAGUUUUAUAUAAUGUUAAAAUCAUAGUAGUUGGUAUGGUGACAUUACCCUUCCACUUAGGAAAGCAAAAGUCAAGUUGAUUUAUGUAUAUAGAAACAAGAAAAGUGGUAAUAAUGAUGAACAACCACAAUAAAUCUUGCAUUUAAAACAUGUUCACAUCUACUUUUUCAACAUUUGAAUUAAGCUAAUAAUUUAAUUUCCAUUACAAAAAACUUUGGAUCAAGAUUGUUGAAAAAAUUCUUUUACAUUUUUAAAUUUUUUAUAUUUACUUGACUUUAUUUUUAUUCUUCUUUUUAAAAAAUAUUAAAUUUUAUAAUUUUUAAAUUAUUUUAUUUUAUAUUAUAUAUUAAAUGAAUGUAAAAAUGUCUCAUCGUAUGGUAUGUAUAUCGUAUGAUAGAUUGUUAUUACUUUUAAAACAAUAAAUUUUAAUCAGACUUAUCAUGUUUAGCUAUCACAUCAAACUUAGGAUUCUAAACAAUGAAUAUAUGUAAGUUUAAUAACACGUUGAAGAUAAUGGAGUACAGCAAUCUGAAUAGAGCCAAAUGUUUUUUUGUUUAAAUAACACGUUGCAUAUAUUGUGAAUUUUAAUAUGAUAGUUAUUUAAAAUAAUCAUUUUUACUAUAUAAUACUGACAGACUUCACAUUUUAAAAUAAAGAUGUUUUUAACUAUUAAUUUUUAAUAUAUAUUUUACAUAUUUUAAUUGCUUAUAUAGCAUUAAGGGUAAGAAAACAAAUAAAUCUAAGACUUAAUUACUUCAAUGAUUUCCACUUUAGAGGAAUGUGUCAACUUAGUCACCCUUUUUAAUUUUGUGUUAAUUUUAUCUCUAAAUUUGUUAAUAUGCAUCAAUGUAAUCCUUCUUAUUAAUUUUUCAGAAACGACAUUAAGAUUAUGGUUAUGUGGCAGUUAAUAGAUACAUGUCAAAAAUUUUAAUUGUACACUGAAAAUUGGGAAUGUUUAUGUGUCAAGUUUUUCCUUUUAAUGAUACACUGAAAAUGAGAUUGUUUAUGUGUCAAGAUUUUCCUUUUAAUGAAAAAGAUUGAAGUUUUCCCUAACAAGUGGUUUGGGGUUUCCACUGUUUGUUUCUCCUUUGUAAUUGGUUGAUGAAGUGUGUAAUGUCUCGUAAUCAAGCUUGUUCUUCUUGUUCUUGGAGGACACAAAUCUAUAACAUCUCCUCUCUUGGUGGUUGGUUUAGGAGCUUAGGUUUUUCAUUAUGUGAAAGUUGCAAUGUUGAAAGUGGCUAAAACGGUCAAGAAUGAUGGGAAACAAUUUUGAAGUUGUCCUAAAUACAAAGUUUGAUCUAUGAUUUUAAUUUUCAUUUCAAGUAUAUAUUUUUUUUUUCUUAUUAACAAUGAGUGUUUCAUGUUAACAAAAUCUUUGUUAUUAUUGGAUUUUUUUUAAAAAUAGAAUGGAAAUAAAGAUUUUAACGGGUGUAAUUAUUUCAAAUGGAGCAAUGAAGAUAACGGAGAUGAAAUGGGUGUUACUAUUGGUAGACAAAGAAAGAUCUAUAAAUUGAAAAAAUCCUUUAUGGUUUCUAAAAAAUGGGUUAAGUUGCUAAUAAAGAUGAUAUGUUUUAUGGGUUUGAUUAACAUAAUUCUUGUUUGUAUGUUGCUUAAACUUCCAAGAAAUGUUGUAAAAGUGACAUAUGUUGUCAUUAACAAGCUAUAUACUUUAUAGGUUAUACUAAGUGUGAUGUACUUAGUUUUAUAUUGUAAUCUCAUUAAAUGAAUGAAAAGUGUUGUAUGUUUUUAUAAUGUAACUUUAUUAAAUGAAUGAGAAGUUUGAGUAAUAUGUAGAGAAGUAUAGAAGUUAAUUUUUGCUACAAAAUAUACAUGAAAUUAAUUCUAGAUACAUUCAAAUAGAGAAUAUUGUUCUUCAAAAUAAAUAUGUUGCUAAGCAACAUAAGUACAUAUAAUAAGCAAAAUAAAGUGCGGAGAAAAAAAUAAGGUGUUUAAUACAUAUUAAAGUUCCAAAUUAUAUGUAUUUCAAAAUAGGCGAAAUACAUAAUGAAGUUCCAAAUACACAUGGCAGUUGCAAAUUAUACAUAAAUAUAGUUUCAUGGUUUCCAAACUGGGCUCCUCUUAUAUGGAAAUUUCUCUCUAAUGAUGGGUCUUGCAAUUGGUUGAGUUUGUUAGGUUUAUGGGAAUUGGCAUGCAAUAAUUUGACUUCCUUCACGUGGUAUUGUUGGGUCUAUUGAAGUUGGUUGAGUUCCUUCAGAAUGUGCAAGAGGUGUGGUUGUUGGCUUUGUAGUUGGUGAGCUUGCCUAGUCUUCUAUUUGAGAGGUUUGUGAGCAAUUAUUUCUUUUGUGAUCUUAUAUGAUUUUAUCAAGGUUCAUAUAUCUCCUCCAUGGUAGACAAUUCUUAUUUUUCACGUAGUUGUGAUCAUAUAAUGAAACUUUGUUCAUCAGUUAUGGAUCCUGUUCAUGACUUCUUUUUUUAAUGUAAAGGAUGCAAUUGAUCUCUUACAAGGGAAUUUCAUAGUUUCUGCCAACCGAGAACAUAAUCCUUCUCAGAGUCAAGACAUUGAAGCUAUUGCUGUAAGUUCAAUUUCUAGACUAUAUCUUUUUGGUUUUAGAAAAGUUAUCAAAUGCUUCUGUUCCACUGUUUUAAAUCUGUAAUGUUAAACUUGAUUUUUGGAACCAUCUUCUGGGUUCCAAGUCCUUGUGGGUAAUUAUAAUUCAAUAACAUUAAAGUUUUUUUAAAUGGCAGAUUUAUUACUCUACAUGGUGCCUUUUUGCUUUGAUGAUUACUGGAUGCAAUUCCAGAGGAUUUAAAACCAGAUUUGGCUAUCUUGUUACAUACCUAUAAGGAUGUGUUUGCUAUUCCUCAAGGCUUACCUCAUAAUAGGUCACAUGAUCAUCAUAUUCCCUUGCUUCCUAAUGCCAAAAAGAACAAAAUGAGAAAAUGGUAUAUGUUGCAGGAAGGUCUCGUUACCUCUAGGAAAUAGUCCUUUUUCAUCUCCAGUUAGUUGUCUUGUCCUUGUGAAAAAGAAAGAUGAAGCAUGGAGAUUUUGUGUAGAUUAUAGAACCUUGACUGUUAUUAUUAUUAAGGAUAGUUUUCCUAUGUCCACGCUAGAUGAAUUGAUUAACGAAUUAUAUGAUUCCAAAAAAAAUUUCAAAUUAGAUUAAGUCUGAAUAGCACCAAACUUUUGUUAAACAAAGAGGAUUGUUACAAGACUAAUUUUAAUGGCCCUUAUGAGUGGAUAAUCAUAGCAUUUGGUUUGACUAAUUCUCUAAUUACAUUCGAUCCCUCAUGAAUGAGAUUAUGAGAUUUUUACUGGUUUAUUGAGAAAAUAUGAUCCUGUCUUCGUUGAUGAGAUUAUAAUAUAUAGUUCUUCGUGGAAUGAACAUUUGCACCACUUGGAAGUCGUGUUCCAACUUCUAAGGUUGCACCAACUAUUUGCAAAAUUCUGAAAAUGCUCUUUUGGUCUUUCUCAAAUUGAAUAUCUUGACCAUAUAGUCUCGGGUGAAGGAGUAUCAACUGAUGAUGAAUCUGAGACUGUCAAUUGUUGUUUAGAAAUGUACUUGUGUGGUUUAAGUUAUGCAAAUCCGAGGAGUUGGAUCAAGUUCUUGUGAAGGACUCAUAUCACCUUAACAUAGACAUGACAGCUUUUAAGAUGGUAUACAGAAGUGACCCUGUAGAAUUGAUAGGUAUGUCUUGGGUAGUAAUAAUCUUACAUAUUUACAAGAGAUGCUGCCGCAAUCAAGGGACUUGACUCGAUUGAAGGCAAAUCUGUUUGAAGUUCAGCAGAACACGAACAGAAGUGCAGACCAAAAAAGGUUAUAGAUUAAAUUCAAGGAAAAGACAUGGUGCUAGUUAAGUUGCAGCCUUAUAGAUGGAACUCAUCAGCUCUAAGAACAAAAUCAGAAACUAGGCUUUGGGCCUAUUCCAAUUAUGUAUGUAGAAAAUACGUCCUGUGGCAUAAAAUUUGCUUUUGCCAGGCGAAGCCAAAAUACAGAGGAUUAUGUUAUAGGUCAACGACAGGCGUCAAAUGUUUCGGAUGGUCUAAGAAACACACACAAUUUUGUUGAGUAGCACUCCUUCAGUCUCAUUCUUGUUUAGUGGCCAUCACACUGUAAUGCAGAUAUUCAUCACAAUUUUGUCAUCUUUAAUUUUCUUAAUUUUACCUUUCAUUGGACACUGAAAGAAACAAUUAUAUAUAAUCAUUUUUAGCUUAAGAGGAGCUUUUCAGCUAAAGAAAAACUAACAAACAUCUUUCACUCCAGCUUUUAUUUUAAACUUUAACUUAAAAAGAAAACAAAAAAAAAAAAUUGAAUAUCAAAGAGUUGAAGCAGCAUCUUAGGAACACAUAACAGAUUGUAGCAUUCUACCCAUGCAAUGUACCUCAUGAGGAUGGAGUUGCAUACGGAGGCCAGUAAAGAUGAAAUUGAAUUUCGUAGACAACGUUGGGAUCGUAAGGAUUAAGAGGAGAAGACGUAACAUAGCCUUGCACAAACAAGAAAUCUUUAGUGCCUCCUACGACAGGAAGAUUGGUGGAAUCGACGAUAUCUACGAUACCAACAACAGAAAGGGAGCCCUUGUGGUCCUUCAAACUAAGAGUUAGUAUUGCAACUGAAAUGCUUCGGCCGGUAGGACUAGAUAACACUCUAGUUCCUUCUGCGAACCCAACCUGUUCGGAGGAUUUGUUGGCUUCAACUGUCAAACGACCCAGAUAGGCAAACACAUCUGGUCCUCCUUCUAUACCUAAGGUCAAAUCAUGUUGAAACAGUGUAAAGUUAAGGAAUUUCAGGUCUUGGAGGUGCUCAUGGGAGCUUGCAAUGGCUUUCAAUUGGAUUAUGGCCAAAACUAAAACACCAAGAACAUACUUCUGUGAGGAAGCCAUAAUAUGUUGGUUGCUUCUUCUCAUCAGAAUGGAUACAACACUGAUAUCUCGUUUCAUUAUAUAC